CGUAUCACCCAAGACAACUUUACGGAGUUGACGAUUGACGGAGCGAAGCGACGUCAAAGCGUUCAUUAAAGUCGAGUUGGCUUAGGGAUACGUUCGUUGGGUAGGGGAGCGUUCUGUAAGCCUGUGAAGGUGUGUCGUGAGGCAUGCUGGAGGUAUCAGAAGUGCGAAUGCUGACAUAAGUAACGAUAAAGCGGGUGAAAAGCCCGCUCGCCGGAAGACCAAGGGUUCCUGUCCAACGUUAAUCGGGGCAGGGUGAGUCGACCCCUAAGGCGAGGCCGAAAGGCGUAGUCGAUGGGAAACGGGUUAAUAUUCCCGUACUUGGUGUUACUGCGAAGGGGGGACGGAGAAGGCUAUGUUGGCCGGGCGACGGUUGUCCCGGUUUAAGCGUGUAGGUGUGUGUUCCAGGUAAAUCCGGUUCACUUUAACACUGAGGCGUGACGACGAGGCACUACGGUGCUGAAGCAACAAAUGCCCUGCUUCCAGGAAAAGCCUCUAAGCAUCAGGUAACACGAAAUCGUACCCCAAACCGACACAGGUGGUCAGGUAGAGAAUACCAAGGCGCUUGAGAGAACUCGGGUGAAGGAACUAGGCAAAAUGGUGCCGUAACUUCGGGAGAAGGCACGCUGACACGUAGGUGAAGUGAUUUACUCAUGGAGCUGAAGUCAGUCGAAGAUACCAGCUGGCUGCAACUGUUUAUUAAAAACACAGCACUGUGCAAACACGAGAGUGGACGUAUACGGUGUGACGCCUGCCCGGUGCCGGAAGGUUAAUUGAUGGGGUCAGCG
RNAcentral lists this ribosomal RNA (785 nucleotides) under Salmonella enterica. RNAcentral describes it as "partial 23S ribosomal RNA". It matches the Rfam family "Bacterial large subunit ribosomal RNA", at positions 1154 to 1895 of the family's 2925-position model. Lineage: Bacteria; Pseudomonadati; Pseudomonadota; Gammaproteobacteria; Enterobacterales; Enterobacteriaceae. The record is from RNAcentral.